UUCAGUUCAACCCCUCUUCCAGCUGGAAUCGUCUCUCAAUUUGGCUGUUCUCAACUCCCACUCCUCCGCCGCUCUCUCCGCCGUCUGCAAUGGUGGAAAUUGACGAGCUAACGUUCCCAGAGGACGAUGAAAGAAGCAGAGUGUUUACGCAGCUAAAAGCAUACUGCUUUGAGCUUCUGGAGCUUCUCCAAAACCCUAAGAAGCACUCCUCUGCUCUCUCUUCUCUGCUCCAUUUCCUUCGCCAGUCUCCGCCUCAUGCUCUCCAGCCCUUCUUCGACUACACGUUGUUUCCGCUGCUGCUUCUAUUGGAUGCAGCUGUUGACUGUAGAACCUCAAAGAAGCUUGGUUCUGAAGAAAAAUUUGUGAGUCAUAAUGUCCCAAAAAUGCCCCAAAAAGUGAGUGAUAGUGUGGCUGAAGGUGUGCUUCAGUGCCUGGAAGAACUGCUCAAGAAGUGUCUUUUAGGAUCUGUAGAUCAGUUGGUUGUAGUACUGAAAAAGUUGACUUAUGGGGCUUUGCUUUCUCCAUCUGAUGCGUCAGAAGAGUUUCGUGAAGGAAUUAUUAAGUGUUUCAGGGAAUUGCUUCUGAAUUUACUUCCAUGCUCUGAUGAGUCUUGUGCAUGUAAACGAAUCUUUGGUGUGCCUAUGCUUUUAGAAAACAGAGACUUGAAAGCUCCACUCAGUAGAACGUCAAAGUAUGAUUCAGAACCAGAUGAAUGUUUGCUUGCAUUUCUACAGUCACAAACUGCUUCUGCAGCUGUUGGACACUGGCUAUCACUUCUUCUCAAAGCUGCAGAUAAUGAGGCUGCACGAGGACAUCUAGGUAGUGCAAAGCUUCGGAUUGAAGCCUUUAUGACCCUACGUAUGCUUGUUGCUAAGGUUGGUACUGCUGAUGCGUUAGCCUUCUUUUUACCUGGUGUUGUUAGUCAAUUUGCCAAAGUUUUGCAUGCCUCAAAAACAAUGACCAGUGGGGCUGCUGGAAGUGGGGAUGCAAUUGAUCAGGCAAUUAGAGCUUUGGCUGAGUAUCUGAUGAUAGUUCUGCAGGAUGAUGCUAACUUAACUACACUUGAUAUGUCUAUAACUCUUAGUUCUGACUUAACUUUAAAAAAGAAUGAAUCUACACAAUCGUUCCUGGAUGAGCUUCGUAAGUUGCCUGUUAAGGCGCAUGGUCAAAGUAAAAUGAUAUUGGAAGAUUCGAGUGAUAAAGUGAUUACAACUACUUCCAACUCUGAGAAGAAAACUGAUUCUGGCAAAGGAGAUGGAUCUUUGCACGUGGAUCGUACAAGUGAUUGGAUUGAGAAAACUUCAAUGCAUGUGGAUAAACUCUUAGGUGCAACUUUUCGACAUAUUUGCAUUCAUCCAGCAAAAAAAGUGAGACAAGGUCUCCUGGCUUCCAUACGAGGACUGUUGUCAAGGUGCAGUUACACGCUGAGGCAGAGUAGACAAACGCUUCUGGAGUGCUUGUGUGCUUUGGUUGUUGAUGACUCUGUAGAGGUAUCUGCAGGUGCACAAGAAUUCCUUGAAAAUUUAUUCUCAUCGAUUGAAGAUAAUCAAUUGGAACAUGAUGUUGCUCAGAUGUUUAGCAGGCUCAUUGACAAGCUUCCAAAAGUUGUCCUUGGGAGUGAGGGAUCACUUGCAGUCUCACAAGCUCAGCAGCUACUUGUAAUAAUGUACUAUUCUGGUCCUCAGUUUGUGGUGGAUCACAUCCUUCAGUCUCCGGUAACAGCUACUCGUUUCCUGGACCAUUUUUCUGUUUGUAUGAGUCAGAACUCGGUGUUUGCUGGUUCUCUUGAUAAGCUUAUUACCACAAGGCCAUCCUCAGUUGGAUAUCUUGACUCUGUUUCUGAGUUGAAUGCUGGAGCCAGUAUUACCAGCGAGUGCCUGACAAUAGUGGCUGCUGCUCCCCGAAAUUCAAAGAUUGCAGGCAUCCAGGAGAAAGAUAUACCAUACACAUCAGAUAAUGAUCAGAAGAAUUAUGAGAAUUAUAAGCUUCCGCGCAUGCCUCCUUGGUUCGUAUACAUUGGCAGUCAGAAACUUUACCAAACUCUUUCAGGAAUUCUUAGACUUGUAGGUUUAUCCUUGAUGACAGAUAAAAAACAUGGGCAGCAUUUGUCACACAUCACUGACAUACCAGUGGGUUACUUGCGUAAAUUAGUUUCUGAGGUUCGUAUGAAGGAUUAUAAUGAAGUGAGUUGGCACUCAUGGUAUAAUAGAACUGGUUCGGGACAGUUACUGCGCCAGGCGAGCACUGCAGUGUCUAUUCUUAAUGAGAUGAUAUUCGGUAUGUCAGAUCAAGCGACGGAUAUUUUCACAAGGAUGUUUCAAAAAGCGAGAAAAAGAAGGAAGAGGUUCAGGACUCUGAUGCAAGAUUUGCUGAUGGUCAACCUUUCAAAGUUGAAUCUUCCAUGCUUUUUGAAUCUAGUUGGAAUGUUUUAAAGGACGAGGAAUUAAGGAGUCACUUGAUUGAUUGUGUUGGUAGAAUUUUACUUGAGUAUUUAUCUCAUGAAGUAUGGGAUCUUCCAACAGAACAUAAAUCUUUAUCCAUGCAUCCUGACUAUGAUGCUGAAGAUAUUAAUCUAAACUUAUUUCAGGACACGGCUAUGCUACACCAGGUUAUCAUUGAAGGAAUAGGCAUAAUCAGUAUCUGCCUUGGAGGAGAUUUUGCUUCUAGUGGAUUUCUUCAUCAAUCCCUUUAUAUGUUGCUUGAAAAUCUGACUUCUUCAAACUAUCGUGUUAGAAGUGCUUCUGAUGGUGUAUUACAUAUCCUGGCUGCUGUAUCUGGCAUUCCAACAGUUGGGCACCUAGUACUAGCGAAUGCAGACUAUGUGAUUGAUUCUAUAUGUCGUCAAUUACGCCAUUUGGAGAUUAACCCUCAUGUGCCAAAUGUGCUGGCUGCCAUGCUUUCCUAUAUAGGAGUCGCGUAUAAAAUAUUGCCUCUAUUUGAGGAGCCGAUGCGCUCUGUUUCUUUGGAGCUCGAGAUUCUUGGCAGGCAUCAGCACCCUGAAUUGACAAUUUCCUUUUUAAAGGUCAUCUUUUGUACCAUACUGAGUUUCCUGUUACUGUAUCGUGAGUCCAUUUGUUUGGCUUUUUGGUUUCUGUUUUACCAGGAGCUAUUACAGCUGUAGUAAAGAAUGCUAUAGUCUAGUUUUCUUUUACUUAAAGAUUUCAUUAGAAUCCCUUCGCAUUCAGCAAGUAAAAUCCUCUCAUGGCAUACCUGGUGGGUUGGUGGGUUUUCCUUAGUUGAAAAAAAUCGCCAAGAGCUGUA
This is a non-coding RNA of Malus domestica (apple), 3261 nucleotides long. The record is from RefSeq and is a predicted model, not a curated record. NCBI's taxonomy places the organism in Eukaryota, Viridiplantae, Streptophyta, Magnoliopsida, Rosales, Rosaceae.